AACGAACGCUGGCGGCGUGCCUAACACAUGCAAGUCGAACGAGAACGUCCGGUCUUGGUGCGCACGUGGGCGUAACGCGUGGGAACCUACCCUUGGGUUCGCAAUACCUGCCCGAGAGGUGUGCUAAUAACAGUUAGUGUCAUACGACAAACGAGUUAUCGCCUUUUGGUGGGCGCGCGUUAGUUUAGCUGGUUGGUAGGGUAAAAGCCUGCCAAGAGGACGAUCCAUAGCUAGUCGGGGAGGAUGACCCUGCAGACUGGGAAUGCGACCCGGCCCAGUCUCCUACGGGACGCAGCAGUGGGUAACAUUAGACGCUGGGCGCAAGCCUGAUCAAGCCAUGCCGCGUGAGUGAUGCAGCCCUUAGUGUUGUAAAUCUCUUUUACCCGGGACGAUAAUGACAGUACCGGGUGAAUAAGCUCCGGCUAACUCCGUG
Molecule: ribosomal RNA, 433 nt
Filed under: uncultured bacterium
Lineage: Bacteria
Description: partial 16S ribosomal RNA
Rfam family: Bacterial small subunit ribosomal RNA
Source: RNAcentral